Rhipicephalus microplus (southern cattle tick) is the source of this 575-nucleotide long non-coding RNA. Lineage: Eukaryota; Metazoa; Arthropoda; Arachnida; Ixodida; Ixodidae. The record is from RefSeq and is a predicted model, not a curated record.
AACCUGGCAUUUUCUCUAUGAAAACCUCUGGCAACGGAAUCUACGUUAGGUAAAUGACAACUACAGACCACACCAUUACGAACGCAGUAUAAGUACUGCACAGUAGUUCAUAAAUUUUACUGCACUUGCCUCUCACUACACGUACAAAAUUGCUUUGCAUUUCGGCGUAUUGAAAAUGAUGGCGAAGUUUUUCGUGGCAUUCCUCUGCUCACUAGCUUAUGUGAUACCCAACAAAUCCAUUGCAUAUGAAGGUAGUGGGAAUGCAUCAUGCAUAUACAAUGGUACAGAGUGGAAGCACAAUGAUUACAACCUUUCUUCUGAUCCGUGCGUGUUCCUUUGGUGUAUAAACGGCAACAUGACGAUUGAGGGGUGUGACCCGACGAUUCCCACAAACAGCGCCUAUGGCAACUGCAAAUAUGUCUCCCUUGGUGGACCUUUUCCUGAUUGUUGCCGGUAUACUCGGAUAUGCUAGUGCAUCGAAAUUGAUGGAAUUGUGCACCUAUAUAUGAGUGAAAACCCGAUAAUCCUUUAUUUUGUUUUUAUUGGUGAAUAAAAAUCCAAUAUGAGAAACACGA